AGCGAACGCUGGCGGCAGGCCUAACACAUGCAAGUCGAACGGAUCCUUCGGGAUUAGUGGCGGACGGGUGAGUAUCACGUGGGAACGUGCCCUUUGGUUCGGAACAACUCAGGGAAACUUGAGCUAAUACCGGAUGUGCCCUUCGGGGGAAAGAUUUAUCGCCAUUGGAGCGGCCCGCGUCUGAUUAGCUAGUUGGUGAGGUAAAGGCUCACCAAGGCGACGAUCAGUAGCUGGUCUGAGAGGAUGAUCAGCCACAUUGGGACUGAGACACGGCCCAAACUCCUACGGGAGGCAGCAGAGGGGAAUCUUGCGCAAUGGGCGAAAGCCUGACGCAGCCAUGCCGCGUGAAUGAUGAAGGUCUUAGGAUUGUAAAAUUCUUUCACCGGGGACGAUAAUGACGGUACCCGGAGAAGAAGCCCCGGCUAUCUUCGUGCCAGCAGCCGCGGUAA
Molecule: ribosomal RNA, 449 nt
Filed under: uncultured bacterium
Lineage: Bacteria
Description: partial 16S ribosomal RNA
Rfam family: Bacterial small subunit ribosomal RNA
Source: RNAcentral